CUUUUUCAUUUAUGCCAUUUUUGAGCCAAAGUAUUUAUCAAAUGACAUUUAUUUUCAUAUGUGGCAUUAGAAUGGAGAUAACUGUAUUGUAUUUUAAGCUUGGCCUUCGUAAAACUUGAUUUUACUGUCGCAAAUAUCCGUUUACCUAUCUCCGCUCCGCGUCGCUAGGUAAACUCAAUUUGCGACAGUAAAAUCUACGUUUUACGAAGUCCAAGCUUAAAAUACAAUACAGUUAUCUCCUAAAUUUAACUUUUUAUAGUUGAUACUUCUAUAGAUGUCACUCAAAACAAGGUGUAUGAGCAAUAUUCUUGCUAGUAUUACCUGACACGAUC
Molecule: long non-coding RNA, 332 nt
Filed under: Mytilus galloprovincialis (Mediterranean mussel)
Lineage: Eukaryota; Metazoa; Mollusca; Bivalvia; Mytilida; Mytilidae
Source: RNAcentral